GAUGGAAUUUUGGACACUGGCAGUGUGACCACUUGAAUAGUAAAUUUUACAUUGUCAUAACUCACCCUAGAAAACUCCAAAUUAGGUGAUUAUUGAACCGAUGGAAACUUAAAACAUAGUAGAACAUCUCAUAUGAAGAAUGUAAAGCCAAAUUAUGAACUUAACUCAACCAAAUUGCUGGGCAAAGUUAGGUCAAUAAAUUUGCUAGAAUCUAUCCAUGUGAACAAUAACUAUUGAUUUAAUCAUAACUU
Molecule: unclassified non-coding RNA, 251 nt
Filed under: Hevea brasiliensis (rubber tree)
Lineage: Eukaryota; Viridiplantae; Streptophyta; Magnoliopsida; Malpighiales; Euphorbiaceae
Source: RNAcentral